AUGAACGCUAGCGACAGGCCUACACAUGCAAGUCAGGGGCAGCACAAGGAGCAAUCUGAGGUGGCGACCGGCGCACGGGUGAGUAACACGUAUGCAACCUGCCUGUAAGCGGGGAAUAACCCGUUGAAAGACGGACUAAUACCGCAUAAUACUAAAUUACUGCAUGGUAAUUUAUUUAAACAUUUAUGGCUUACAGAUGGGCAUGCGCAUGAUUAGCUAGUUGGAGAGGUAACGGCUCCCCAAGGCAACGAUCAUUAGGGGUUCUGAGAGGAAGGUCCCCCACACUGGUACUGAGACACGGACCAGACUCCUACGGGAGGCAGCAGUGAGGAAUAUUGGUCAAUGGACGAGAGUCUGAACCAGCCAAGUCGCGUGCAGGAAGAAUGUCCUAAUGGAUUGUAAACUGCUUUUGCAGGGGAAUAAAGUGCAUCACGUGUGAUGUUUUGUAUGUACUCUGCGAAUAAGGAUCGGCUAACUCCGUGCCAGCAGCGGC
This 493-nucleotide ribosomal RNA is filed under the name uncultured bacterium. RNAcentral's name for it is "bacterial SSU rRNA". It matches the Rfam family "Bacterial small subunit ribosomal RNA", at positions 29 to 518 of the family's 1533-position model. The record is from RNAcentral.